GAAUGAAUUAGAUUAGUUGUAAUUGCAGAAUAAAAAAGUAUCAACCUACAAAUUGAAUAGAAGAAUGAAUUUAUGCAGUAGAGAUGGUCUGAAAGCUUUUGUUGAGUUUGUUUUGUUCUCUUUUAAGUGAGAAAAAUUGAAAACCUAGUGUAAAGAUAAAGUUAACAAAUAAAGCAAAUGUUUAUCAGUACUACAGAGAUCAAAAUGUAAACCAAAAAGGAUCUCCACUAAAGAAAAC
Molecule: unclassified non-coding RNA, 238 nt
Filed under: Hevea brasiliensis (rubber tree)
Lineage: Eukaryota; Viridiplantae; Streptophyta; Magnoliopsida; Malpighiales; Euphorbiaceae
Source: RNAcentral